Molecule: long non-coding RNA, 1593 nt
Organism: Papaver somniferum (opium poppy)
Lineage: Eukaryota; Viridiplantae; Streptophyta; Magnoliopsida; Ranunculales; Papaveraceae
Exons: 3
Source: RefSeq, a predicted model, not a curated record
UUCACGAUUCAAAUUCCAAUUAUCAUCAUAAUCCCUAACUUCUGCUUCUCCUAAAAUCACCUCAAUUGAAUCCACUUUCUGAAGAAGAAGAAGAAAAAAGGCCGAUUUAAAGAAGAAGAAGAAGAAGUUAACAACAAUAAACAAGUCGAGAAAUCACUACUGGUAUGAAAUCACAGAAUGAAGCAGAUAAUUCUGCCAAGAGAACAUCUUCAUUUCAGCAAUCUGCAUCUUCUUCUAUUUAUUUUCAGAGGCCAUCAUCUUUGAAGCUGGUAACAUUGCGGGUGUCUCAAAGGAAAUGGAAUAUGGUUUUUGGAAUCGGAAUAAGUUGCAGGUUGCUAAGUUGGAGAUGUUUCUGGAAAGGAUCAAUAGGGUUAUAGUGUUGGAGGUACUGAAAUCACCAAUUCUCAAGAAUGAGUGCGUGUUCUUAAAUGGUAAACCACCUUGCAGCGGCGGUGGAUUCGACUAAUAGCUUAUCUCUCUGUUCAACCCGGUGGACCAUUUCUUUCCUCCACAUCAGUAGUUCAGGUCGUCACUCCAUUGCGACCUCUUCUUUUUUAAUGUAGCUCUCCACUUUUCCGUCAAAAGUUUUUUUUUUUUUUUGUAAUAAGUUCCUCCACAGUAAAAUAUAAAAAUUAACAUUAAUAUAGGCUGUUUGGACUUUGGAUAUCAUUCAGAAAGAUGUUUUUCUGACUUCUAGAAGCAAAAAAUUCAGAAGGUAGUUUGGGCAUAUAAUUUCUGAAUGACUUCUAGAAGAAGAAAAGUUAACUUUCUGACUUCUGGCCAAACACCCUCUAAGGUGAAAAAUUCCGUAACCCAAAUAACUUGGCUAGUGGUUGUAGAAGAAGCUGCCAGGCAUAGGAACGCAAUCAGAGAUGAAACUUCCCUUGGUUCUCCAAUACACUGGAUUGGGUUCAUGCGACGAUGCUUUGUAGGUGCUCCUUGUCUUCCUGCAUCUGCGAUGGAAACAAUUGUAGGGGGAUGUUGUGGUAAACAUACUAGUUAUGUACAGUCUGGCCAUCAGAGUAGUCAGUGAGUAGUUUGAUUUCUGAGUAAACAAAUUUAGAGUUGCUGCAUUAUGUCUUGAGAUUUUAUGUUAGUCCCACAUAGUCUGUUGCUGUACAUUUACAAGAUUUAAGGCAGUACACAGCAGUCGGGAUGUAAAGAACCAUUUCAUGCAGUGGCUGAAUUUGCUGUGCCAAGCUCAAAGUCCAAAUCCUCCGUGAAAAUGGAAUGGUGAACCCAAUUCUACUUUCCCAUUUCAUUUUCGUAUUGGGGGUUCUUCUCCUUAUGGUGGAACUGGGUGCCGUAAGUGCUUUGGAAUGGACUGCUGAGCAUAAAAAAUUUGAAGUUUUUCGACAAUCUGACUCAACAGCUGCUAUUGCUGCUUUCAUGACUCACAAAAGACCUUCUUUUGGAAGCAAUCUAUUCACUUAAGGCAUGCUUCCCGGGAAAUCACAGUUUUUUGUUCUUUUUUGCUAGGAGUACACUUGUCCAGAGGUCAAAUCCCUACUUUCAAUCCCAGACCAAGUAGAAUUUCUCUUGCUAUGGAUUUGCUCAAGUUUUGUUGUUGGGCCUUUAGGUGUAUGGCGCUGU